AUCACUACCUCUUGACAAGUUACCCACGACAUGUAUCAUAAUAAAAGAUAAAAGAGAAGUCUUUCAAGUUUCACCAUCUACAAUUAAAAUAAUAAUUACUAAUCUAUUUUUUCUUUCACAAUUUGCUCUAUAAGACGAUGUUUGGUGUUUGGCAACAAAGUGGCAUGCAAUCUAGACAGCUGAAAUAUGAAUCUCUUGAGAGUUAUUACAGGAAACAAGAGCUGCAUUAUUUUCAUGUAACAUGAGAGGUUUGUGCUCUAAGCUUCAGUCUUCAGAUCAAAAAUUCAUUGAAGAGAUAAAAGGAAGAUAAGAUUCCGUAUAAGAAUAAUAAGGUAAGAAAAUUGUUUCGUGAAUAAAGAAGAAAAAGAUAGGAAGUAUCAAGAAGCUGGAAAACUCAAGCGAAUUGUAAAGCCAUUGAUUGUAACCAUUUUUUUUUUUGGUAGUGUUUGUUAUAUUCUUUCGAUUUUUCUGAUAUGCAGAUACUUGUAUAAUGUCGUCUGUAUCAUAAUAGUAGCAUCAAA
Long non-coding RNA from Mercurialis annua (annual mercury), 521 nucleotides. RefSeq lists it as uncharacterized. Lineage: Eukaryota; Viridiplantae; Streptophyta; Magnoliopsida; Malpighiales; Euphorbiaceae. The transcript is spliced from 3 exons. The record is from RefSeq and is a predicted model, not a curated record.